ACUCAAAUGAAUAGACGGGACCCCGCACAAGCAGCGGAGCGUGUGGUUUAAUUCGAUGCUACACGAAGAACCUUACCAGGGUUUGACAUGCAAGUGGUAGGAAUCCGAAAGGUGACCGACCCUUCGGGGAGCUUGCACAGGUGCUGCAUGGCUGUCGUCAGCUCGUGUCGUGAGAUGUUCGGUUAAGUCCGCUAACGAGCGCAACCCUCGUCGUGUGUUAUACGUGUCACACGAUACUGCCGGUAUCAAGCCGGAGGAAGGUGGGGAUGAUGUCAAGUCAGCAUGGCCUUUAUAUCCUGGGCUACACACACGCUACAAUGGCAGAUACAAUAGGUUGCGAAACCGCGAGGUGGAGCCAAUCCUCAAAGUCUGUCUCAGUUCAGAUUGUAGGCUGCAACUCGCCUGCAUGAAGUCGGAGUUGCUAGUAAACGCAGGUCAGCUAUACUGCGUUGAAUACGUUCCCGGGGUUUGUACACACCGCCCGU
Molecule: ribosomal RNA, 485 nt
Filed under: uncultured bacterium
Lineage: Bacteria
Description: bacterial SSU rRNA
Rfam family: Bacterial small subunit ribosomal RNA
Source: RNAcentral